AGACACUGGAGCGGAUUUGGCCGGGCGAGGGGCCGGGUCAGGGCAGAGAAGGGGGCUGCAGGAGGAAGCUGCGCUUAAGGAGAGGAGUAUGUGUGUGUGUGAACCUGCUAAGAAGAAUUCCAAUGUUACCAAAUAUUUCCCAGAGUUAGAGGCAAUCUACGCUACAAUAGAAGUCUGGUGGUGACAGUGGUGAAGAUUUCCAUGUGACUCAGUAAUGGAGAAAAAUAUCUACAUUAUUUUCCAUUAAAAUCCCUGUUAACACCCCAGGGAAGGCUUCCAGACUGUAAAAGAAAAAUUAAAAAAUGUUUUUGUUUUUUU
Molecule: long non-coding RNA, 318 nt
Organism: Chelonia mydas (Green sea turtle)
Lineage: Eukaryota; Metazoa; Chordata; Testudines; Cheloniidae
Exons: 2
Source: RefSeq, a predicted model, not a curated record